ACGAAUAUAUACUUGAACCUAUCAGCUAGCAGUUUACAGGCUUCCUCCCAACGAACUUGAUGGGUUAGUUUCUCUAAUUUUUCGGAGAAUGCUGCUAAGCAAUUAGAAGAAGAUAAGAUACAAUGAUCCUGUAACUGAACUCAAAUUGAUGUACGCCAUCAGAGUAGUCGAGAGUUUCAUCCUGUCUGUUUAAGUUCCUUAUAAACAAGUAGACACGUC
This 219-nucleotide long non-coding RNA is filed under the name Salvia miltiorrhiza (redroot sage). RNAcentral describes it as "long non-coding RNA (SMIL_LNC013958)". The record is from RNAcentral. Lineage: Eukaryota; Viridiplantae; Streptophyta; Magnoliopsida; Lamiales; Lamiaceae.